This 825-nucleotide ribosomal RNA is filed under the name Escherichia coli. RNAcentral's name for it is "partial 23S ribosomal RNA". It matches the Rfam family "Bacterial large subunit ribosomal RNA", at positions 911 to 1735 of the family's 2925-position model. The record is from RNAcentral. Lineage: Bacteria; Pseudomonadati; Pseudomonadota; Gammaproteobacteria; Enterobacterales; Enterobacteriaceae.
UGUUUCGGCAAGGGGGUCAUCCCGACUUACCAACCCGAUGCAAACUGCGAAUACCGGAGAAUGUUAUCACGGGAGACACACGGCGGGUGCUAACGUCCGUCGUGAAGAGGGAAACAACCCAGACCGCCAGCUAAGGUCCCAAAGUCAUGGUUAAGUGGGAAACGAUGUGGGAAGGCCCAGACAGCCAGGAUGUUGGCUUAGAAGCAGCCAUCAUUUAAAGAAAGCGUAAUAGCUCACUGGUCGAGUCGGCCUGCGCGGAAGAUGUAACGGGGCUAAACCAUGCACCGAAGCUGCGGCAGCGACGCUUAUGCGUUGUUGGGUAGGGGAGCGUUCUGUAAGCCUGUGAAGGUGUGCUGUGAGGCAUGCUGGAGGUAUCAGAAGUGCGAAUGCUGACAUAAGUAACGAUAAAGCGGGUGAAAAGCCCGCUCGCCGGAAGACCAAGGGUUCCUGUCCAACGUUAAUCGGGGCAGGGUGAGUCGACCCCUAAGGCGAGGCCGAAAGGCGUAGUCGAUGGGAAACAGGUUAAUAUUCCUGUACUUGGUGUUACUGCGAAGGGGGGACGGAGAAGGCUAUGUUGGCCGGGCGACGGUUGUCCCGGUUUAAGCGUGUAGGCUGGUUUUCCAGGCAAAUCCGGAAAAUCAAGGCUGAGGCGUGAUGACGAGGCACUACGGUGCUGAAGCAACAAAUGCCCUGCUUCCAGGAAAAGCCUCUAAGCAUCAGGUAACAUCAAAUCGUACCCCAAACCGACACAGGUGGUCAGGUAGAGAAUACCAAGGCGCUUGAGAGAACUCGGGUGAAGGAACUAGGCAAAAUGGUGCCGUAACU